Molecule: ribosomal RNA, 253 nt
Filed under: uncultured bacterium
Lineage: Bacteria
Description: partial 16S ribosomal RNA
Rfam family: Bacterial small subunit ribosomal RNA
Source: RNAcentral
UACGUAGGGGGCAAGCGUUGUCCGGAAUCAUUGGGCGUAAAGCGCGUGUAGGCGGCCCGGUAAGUCCGCUGUAAAAGUCAAAGGCUCAACCUUUGAAUGUCAGUGGAUACUGCCGGGCUAGAGUCCGGAAGAGGCGAGUGGAACUCCUGGUGUAGCGGUGGAAUGCGCAGAUAUCAGGAAGAACACCAACGGCGAAGGCAGCUCGCUGGGACGGUACUGACGCUGAGACGCGAAAGCGUGGGGAGCGAACAGG